RNAcentral lists this ribosomal RNA (482 nucleotides) under uncultured bacterium. RNAcentral describes it as "partial 16S ribosomal RNA". It matches the Rfam family "Bacterial small subunit ribosomal RNA", at positions 30 to 507 of the family's 1533-position model. The record is from RNAcentral.
AUUGAACGCUGGCGGCAUGCCUUACACAUGCAAGUCGAACGGUAACGGGCCUUCGGGUGCCGCCGAGUGGCGAACGGGUGAGUAAUACAUCGGAACGUGCCCGAUCGUGGGGGAUAACGAGGCGAAAGCUUUGCUAAUACCGCAUACGAUCUACGGAUGAAAGCAGGGGACCGCAAGGCCUUGCGCGGACGGAGCGGCCGAUGGCAGAUUAGGUAGUUGGUGGGAUAAAAGCUUACCAAGCCGACGAUCUGUAGCUGGUCUGAGAGGAUGAUCAGCCACACUGGUACUGAGACACGGCCCAGACUCCUACGGGAGGCAGCAGUGGGGAAUUUUGGACAAUGGGCGCAAGCCUGAUCCAGCCAUGCCGCGUGCAGGAUGAAGGCCUUCGGGUUGUAAACUGCUUUUGUACGGAACGAAAAGCCUUCUUUUAAUACAGGAGGGUCAUGACGGUACCGUAAGAAUAAGCACCGGCUAACUACGUG